GUCUACGGCCAUGCCACCCUGAUCUCAGAAGCUAAGCAGGGUCAGGCCUGGUUAGUACCUGGGUGGGAGACCACCUAGGAAGACCAGGUGCCGUAGACG
This 99-nucleotide ribosomal RNA is filed under the name Pteropus alecto (black flying fox). The record is from RNAcentral. Lineage: Eukaryota; Metazoa; Chordata; Mammalia; Chiroptera; Pteropodidae.